RNAcentral lists this transfer RNA (73 nucleotides) under Dactylonectria macrodidyma. RNAcentral describes it as "Ilyonectria macrodidyma tRNA". It matches the Rfam family "tRNA". From Rfam's summary of the family: Transfer RNA (tRNA) molecules are approximately 80 nucleotides in length. Their secondary structure includes four short double-helical elements and three loops (D, anti-codon, and T loops). Further hydrogen bonds mediate the characteristic L-shaped molecular structure. tRNAs have two regions of fundamental functional importance: the anti-codon, which is responsible for specific mRNA codon recognition, and the 3' end, to which the tRNAs corresponding amino acid is attached (by aminoacyl-tRNA synthetases). tRNAs cope with the degeneracy of the genetic code in two manners: having more than one tRNA (with a specific anti-codon) for a particular amino acid; and 'wobble' base-pairing, i.e. permitting non-standard base-pairing at the 3rd anti-codon position. Lineage: Eukaryota; Fungi; Ascomycota; Sordariomycetes; Hypocreales; Nectriaceae. The record is from Rfam by way of RNAcentral. RNAcentral also lists the same sequence under 1 other name.
GCGUCCAUGGUGUAGUGGUUUAGCAUUGAUGCCUUCCAAGCAUUAGGGAGGGGUUCGAUUCCCCUUGGUCGCA